CAGAAAAUGUGCAAGCGCCCUCGAGAAGGCCAUCAGGACGGACAUAGAGCCCCUUGAAGUAAUAGAAAUCGGACGAGUAAGGAGAAAGCUGCUUAGCGGGCCGUCAGCAACAGCGUACCGUCACAAGGACGCGGACUUGAACACUUUCAUGCAGUACGUGACUGACUUCAAGGCCUACGUGGACGAAGAGAGGCAACGCAUAAACAUCAUACCCGAAACAAGUAUAACC
RNAcentral lists this long non-coding RNA (229 nucleotides) under Dermacentor andersoni. RNAcentral's name for it is "uncharacterized LOC126537153". The record is from RNAcentral. Lineage: Eukaryota; Metazoa; Arthropoda; Arachnida; Ixodida; Ixodidae.